CAAUCAUGCAACACAGUUAGUGAAACACAUUUCACAUAUUAAAGUAUAGUUUAUUUGCAGGUUCAUUGAAAUUGUGUCAAAAUGGCUUGGGUCAACACACAUGACGCCUCUGUCUUUGUCCGUGGUUUGAAGACUUUUCUGGAAGAAAACCACAAGGGACACCUGCUGGGGGACUCCGGCUAUCAACAAUAGUUACAACAAUGCCCAGUCAAGUGUAUUGUGGUUGAGAGGGCUUUUGAACUGCCAAAGAGUAGAUUUAGGUGUCUACAUAAAACUGGCGGUUGUUUAUUCAUGAGACUCGAUGAGUGCUGUCAAGCAGUGGCUGCAUGAAUGCGCCUGCACAACUUAUGCAUAAAUAAGCAGGUGCCACUGCCUGAACAACUUACUGAGGCAUAGGAAGUGGAUGACGUUGUGCACAGUCCACAACAGGACCAAAAUGCAGCUUAUAUGGACAACACAUCAUUAACUUAUUUAUGUAGUUGCUGUUUUAUACU
This is a long non-coding RNA of Dreissena polymorpha, 494 nucleotides long. RefSeq lists it as uncharacterized. Lineage: Eukaryota; Metazoa; Mollusca; Bivalvia; Myida; Dreissenidae. The transcript has 3 exons. The record is from RefSeq and is a predicted model, not a curated record.